Molecule: unclassified non-coding RNA, 390 nt
Filed under: soil metagenome
Description: partial contains 5.8S ribosomal RNA, internal transcribed spacer 2, and large subunit ribosomal RNA
Rfam family: 5.8S ribosomal RNA (bases 3-121)
Source: RNAcentral
GAGAAGAACGUAGCGAAAUGCGAUACUUGGUGUGAAUUGCAGAAUCCCGUGAACCAUCGAGUCUUUGAACGCAAGUUGCGCCCGAAGCCAUUAGGCCGAGGGCACGCCUGCCUGGGCGUCACACGUCGUUGCCCCCCCAUCUACUCCUUCGGGAUUGCGAGGGGCGGAUGAUGGCCUCCCGUGCGCCUCGUCGCGCGGUUGGCAUAAAUGCCAAGUCCUCGGCGACGCACGCCACGACAAUCGGUGGUUGCGAAACCUCGGUUGCCCGUCGUGUGCGGUCGUCGCGCAUCGAGGGCUCGAAAAAAUUGCCGGGCUCCGGCUCGGCUUUCAACGCGACCCCAGGUCAGGCGGGGUUACCCGCUGAAUUUAAGCAUAUCAAUAAGCGGAGGA